RNAcentral lists this ribosomal RNA (871 nucleotides) under Acinetobacter sp. HPC1326. Its description in RNAcentral is "bacterial SSU rRNA". It matches the Rfam family "Bacterial small subunit ribosomal RNA", at positions 64 to 953 of the family's 1533-position model. The record is from RNAcentral. Lineage: Bacteria; Pseudomonadati; Pseudomonadota; Gammaproteobacteria; Moraxellales; Moraxellaceae.
GAUCGCACCCACGAUGCUUCGGUAGCUGUGCAGCGGCGGACGGGUGAGUAAUGCUUAGGAAUCUGCCUAUUAGUGGGGGACAACAUUCCGAAAGGGAUGCUAAUACCGCAUACGUCCUACGGGAGAAAGCAGGGGCUCUUUAUGACCUUGCGCUAAUAGAUGAGCCUAAGUCGGAUUAGCUAGUUGGUGGGGUAAAGGCCUACCAAGGCGACAAUCUGUAGCGGGUCUGAGAGGAUGAUCCGCCACACUGGGACUGAGACACGGCCCAAACUCCUACGGGAGGCAGCAGUGGGGAAUAUUGGACAAUGGGGGGAACCCUGAUCCAGCCUUGCCGCGUGUGUGAAGAAGGCCUUUUGGUUGUAAAGCACUUUAAGUGGGGAGGAGGCUUACCUGGUUAAUACCUGGGCUAAGUGGACGUUACCCACAGAAUAAGCACCGGCUAACUCUGUGCCAGCAGCCGCGGUAAUACAGAGGGUGCGAGCGUUAAUCGGAUUUACUGGGCGUAAAGCGCGCGUAGGUGGUUAAUUAAGUCAAAUGUGAAAUCCCCGAGCUUAACUUGGGAAUUGCAUUCGAUACUGGUUAGCUAGAGUAUGGGAAGAGGAUGGUAGAAUUCCAGGUGUAGCGGUGAAAUGCGUAAAGUCUGGAGGAAUCCCAAUGGGGAGGGCAGCCAUCUGGCCUAAUAUGACCUGAGGGGCGAAAGCAUGGGAAGCAAAAGGAUAAAACCCUGGUGUCCUGCCGUAACAAUGCUCUAGCCGUUGGGGGAUUUGACCUUAGGGGCCACCUAACGAAAAAUAACGCCUGGGGGGAGGGCCCAAAAUAAAACUAAUAGAUUGCCGGGGCCCCCCAACGGGGGAGAGUGGGUUUUAUCAGG